RNAcentral lists this long non-coding RNA (326 nucleotides) under Carica papaya (papaya). RNAcentral describes it as "long non-coding RNA (CPAP_LNC008753)". The record is from RNAcentral. Lineage: Eukaryota; Viridiplantae; Streptophyta; Magnoliopsida; Brassicales; Caricaceae.
AUUAAUAUCCAUAAAGAUCCAUAGGGGUGUCCCUGCUAUACGCGAACCAUUAUCCUUAACAGUCUUAAUUCCAAGGCCGUCCUCAUACCCCGUCCGGUAUGAGCGCCAAGACAUUAAACCUCAAUACUCCGUCCGGUAUGAGGGUGAAACGGGUCAUCCCCAUACCCCGUCCGGUAUGAGGGUGAAACGGGUCAUCCCCAUACCCCGUCCGGUAUGAGACGACGUUCACAGUAGGGUUCCCUAUGAACCCAGUCCGUCCACCAUCUCCCAGAAUAUCUAGUGAAGCUGUCACCUUAUCUGUUUUCUCUUAAUCUCCGUUACCAAGU